Molecule: ribosomal RNA, 1047 nt
Filed under: Triticum aestivum (bread wheat)
Lineage: Eukaryota; Viridiplantae; Streptophyta; Magnoliopsida; Poales; Poaceae
Description: partial small subunit ribosomal RNA
Source: RNAcentral
AUGGAGGCGCAACCAAACCCCCUGCCCGUGUCUGAGGUCAGGGGUUGGUCUGAGCUCCCACUUGAUGCGCUUUCUGCAAUCUUCAUGAAGCUUGGGACCAUUGAGAUUCUGUGGUUGUGGCGUUUCGUGGACAUGACUCGCCACAAGGUGGUUUUCUCAAAGGCGGAAAAUGUCAUGUGCAAAAUGGCAAAGGUGGCUAUAGAUCGUUCCGAUGGACGGAUGGAAUCGUUCUGGGCUCAGAAGUUUGUCACUAGCGAACUCCUGAAUUACAUUGCAAGCAGAUGCAACUUAUUGAAGAGCAUUCGGCUCAUUGGUGCCUAUUACUUUUGGGAUGAUGAGAACGUAGUAAUUAAGCUUGCAGCUAAAUGUCCAACGCUAGAAGAGAUAGAGUACUCUGAUCAGAAGCAGUCAUGGUCCUUUUUCAUGGCGAUCGGCGCAGCACGCCCAGAGCUGAAACGUCUAAGAGUCCGUUUGCCUUGGUUCGACUCGGAUUCAAUAGAGCGUGAGAUGAGGAUGGAACAGCGGAACGGCGAUGACGAAGACGAGGAGGAGGAGGAAGAGGAGUCUGAUGAGGCUUGGGAGGCAAGACACAAUGAGGAGGCCUUCGCCAUAGCAGAGAGCUUGCAUGAGUUGCGGCUCCUUCAGAUGGCAGGCUACGGCCUGACCAACAAAGGGGUAUACGCCAUCCUUGAAGGCUGCCCCCACCUCGAGUUCCUCGACCUUAGAGAAUGCCUCCACAUCGAAGUUAACGCUGAACUCCGAGCUCGCUGUGCCAAUAUCAGGCAUGUCCCGCUGCCAGGACGGGAGCCUUAUGUUCGGUGCCCAGAGCUCCAAACCAUCGAGGCGGAUGAAGGUCAAGUGAUCGAGAUGGCUGAUCUCUAUGAAACGGAGGCUCGCUCUCUGCACGACGAGCCAGCGAUGGAGAAUGAUGACUAUGGCGAGAACUAUUGUGACUGCUGGGAUGACUACUCGCUCCCCUCGUCCCCUGACUCGCCUGCCUUGCCGAUGUACUCGAUGGAUGAUCCCAGAUACUACUGGGAGCUGUAA